Molecule: ribosomal RNA, 559 nt
Filed under: Bacillus cereus
Lineage: Bacteria; Bacillati; Bacillota; Bacilli; Caryophanales; Bacillaceae
Description: bacterial SSU rRNA
Rfam family: Bacterial small subunit ribosomal RNA
Source: RNAcentral
UCCUACGGGGGGCCCACAGUAGGGAAUCUUCCGCAAUGGACGAAAGUCUGACGGAGCAACGCCGCGUGAGUGAUGAAGGCUUUCGGGUCGUAAAACUCUGUUGUUAGGGAAGAACAAGUGCUAGUUGAAUAAGCUGGCACCUUGACGGUACCUAACCAGAAAGCCACGGCUAACUACGUGCCAGCAGCCGCGGUAAUACGUAGGUGGCAAGCGUUAUCCGGAAUUAUUGGGCGUAAAGCGCGCGCAGGUGGUUUCUUAAGUCUGAUGUGAAAGCCCACGGCUCAACCGUGGAGGGUCAUUGGAAACUGGGAGACUUGAGUGCAGAAGAGGAAAGUGGAAUUCCAUGUGUAGCGGUGAAAUGCGUAGAGAUAUGGAGGAACACCAGUGGCGAAGGCGACUUUCUGGUCUGUAACUGACACUGAGGCGCGAAAGCGUGGGGAGCAAACAGGAUUAGAUACCCUGGUAGUCCACGCCGUAAACGAUGAGUGCUAAGUGUUAGAGGGUUUCCGCCCUUUAGUGCUGAAGUUAACGCAUAAGCACUCCGCCGGGAGACCCCCCC